AUAUGUUGCUUGCUUGCUUCUAGGGUUCCAUCGGUUCUCUUGUCAUCGUUGGUGUGACUCCGUUUUUUUUUUAAUUUUCACGCCUCACAGGUUGUUUGCAAGGGGGACUCAUCGCACACACUUAGUUUCGUGAUGCAAGUCUUUCUUAUAAUUCAUCCCACUGGAUUGUAAAUACCCCCGUUUGAGCUUUCCGGUCUCCACAUGGCAGGGCUACUAUAACAAUGUGCAUACAUACGGUGUCCAUUAGAUAGUCUGUCCCAUGAGUGCCAGAGCUUGUUGGAGCUCAUUGGAGCUCGUUGGAGCUCAUUGCCAUCUAUGCUCUGCCAUUGCCAUCUAUGCUCUGCCUCCUCACCACGAUAUUUACUCUAUAGAGGAUCUUGCUCA
Molecule: non-coding RNA, 384 nt
Organism: Camelina sativa (false flax)
Lineage: Eukaryota; Viridiplantae; Streptophyta; Magnoliopsida; Brassicales; Brassicaceae
Source: RefSeq, a predicted model, not a curated record